UGGUUGACUAUCGUUAGGAGGCUAAGU
This 27-nucleotide non-coding RNA is filed under the name Rattus norvegicus (Norway rat). The record is from RNAcentral. Lineage: Eukaryota; Metazoa; Chordata; Mammalia; Rodentia; Muridae.